UCUCCGUAGGUGAACCUGCGGAAGGAUCAUUGUCGAAACCUGCCCAGCAGAACGACCCGCGAACUUGUAUAAACAACCGGGGGCGGGGGGCGUUCUCGCCCCGUGCCCCCGAACGGCGGGGAGACACUCGUGCCUUCUUGCCGAACAACGAACCCCGGCGCGGUCUGCGCCAAGGAACUUCAACUAAAGAGUGCCUCCGGUCGCCUCGGAAAGGCCGUGCGUGCCGGGGGCGAAUCUUGUGCAAAACCAUAACGACUCUCGGCAACGGAUAUCUCGGCUCUC
RNAcentral lists this unclassified non-coding RNA (282 nucleotides) under plant metagenome. RNAcentral describes it as "partial contains small subunit ribosomal RNA, internal transcribed spacer 1, and 5.8S ribosomal RNA". The record is from RNAcentral.